UCUCCUCUAUAUCAUUGCGGGAUUUCGUCACACUGCAUAUAAUUCACCGUAAGUCUUCGCUUAUUUUUCUCAAUUUCUCGUUGAUUCCAAUCGUUUUCAUCGUUUCAAAUUUGUUCAUUCAUUAUUUAUUAAUUUUUAACGCAAAACAUACAUUGUUCAUUUGUCACAAAUAAUUGAUUGUUCAAUUGUUACACACAACUAAUUGUUCAUUUGUCACAAAUCGUCCAUUGUUCAUGGCUCAAUUGUUACACACAAAUAAUUGUUCAUUUGUCAUACACAUUGUUCAUUGUUCCCGUUCAUUUAUUGAAAUUUCGAUACGAUCCAUCUCGUAGAUCUUCAGUGGUCACUUUAUCACUGCCAGUGCUGAUAAAUGUCAAAUUCAAACACUCAAUAUUAACGACAAUGACUAAAUUUAACCUUCUCCUAUCAACAUUUGACUCUGCACUCACUCUACGAAUGACAAAAUCAACUAUGUCCAAACUAUUUUCGUCUGUCGUGAAUGACUGAGUUCGACAAUGUUAUAAUUGAGAACUCGAUGUUUGAAUCUUUCACUAAGGAUCGUUAACAAUUCGUAUACACCAAUGACCAAACACAAGCGUCAGCGGAUCAGACAGAGUAAACUCACUCAUCCCUUUCGUCAAUCAUCUAUUUGAAUUGUUCAUGUCACACUCAUACAAAGAACGAACGUAAUGAAAACGAAAGAGACAAACAAUUAUUUGCGCCCCAAAUCCUCACUACUUGUUUUGCUUACAUCUCAUUGGCAGCAUUGCCAGUGCAUGCAGACCUACCCGUUUCAAAUUUCAUUAUCGUCAAAAAAUAAAUAUCAUGAAAUGUUGAAUGUAUCAUGUUGGUUCUUGAAGAGAUCACAAAACAAAUUCUUUAAAACUUAUUUGGAGCGUGUUUUCAAACAAUCCUUUGCCGCUCAUAACGUUUUGUUGUGAAAAGUACAAGAUACAUUACUCUUCCAUUAUCUAUUCUUGAAACCAAAUAUACAACAAACUAAAAAUUUAUGGCCACACUGUAUACAGCAAAAUCAACAUGUCAAAAAUCAACAAGCGACGAUUGUUGUUAUAUCGAAUGCUUUCCUAUGUUAGUGUUUCAAAUAACAGAGAUCGUAUCCUAAUAAUAAUUCCGCGGCUUUUAACGUACCCCUCCUGCUUGACGUUGGAAUUCGCUCUAAUCUCGCAGCCAUCCGCUACAUAGUUGCUAUUCGUCGACGCAGGAUGGAUCGAACAACGGUACAACAUACAGUUUGACGAAUCACGUAUCUGUAUAUGAUGAAUAAUCGUUACAAAGCAGAUGAUGUGCGGGACUGAUUGCACUGUGGUUAAACAGAAAAAUUUAGAGAAAUUCUCAGCAAGCAUCAGUUUCAUCUACCUGCAAUUCAGUAUGUAGCAACUGUCUAAUAAACUGGAAACCGUUCAACCCUCAGUAUAAAGUGUUUCAUUGGUUCAUCAUAUAAACUGUAUGAAGAUGUUGCGAUGAGUAAAU
Molecule: long non-coding RNA, 1491 nt
Organism: Toxorhynchites rutilus septentrionalis
Lineage: Eukaryota; Metazoa; Arthropoda; Insecta; Diptera; Culicidae
Exons: 3
Source: RefSeq, a predicted model, not a curated record